AGCAGCCGCGGUAAUUCCAGCUCCAAUAGCGUAUAUAAAAGUUGCUGCAGUUAAAAAGCUCGUAGUUGAAUUUCGGGACCGAUAUAUCGGUCGCGCCUCGGUACGUACUGGUAUUUUCGGUUUCUACCUUCUGACGAACCUUGAUGUCAUUAAUUUGGUGUCUUGGGAAAUCAGGACUGUUACUUUGAAAAAAUUAGAGUGUUUAAAGCAGGCUCACGCUUGAAUACAUUAGCAUGGAAUAAUGAAAUAGGACGUUUGAUUCUAUUUUGUUGGUUUCUAGGAUCGACGUAAUGAUUAAUAGGGAUAGUUGGGGGCAUUAGUAUUCAAUUGUCAGAGGUGAAAUUCUUGGAUUUAUUGAAGACUAACUACUGCGAAAGCAUUUGCCAAGGAUGUUUUCAUUAAUCAAGAACGAAAGUUAGGGGAUCGAAGACGAUCAGAUACCGUCGUAGUCUUAACCAUAAACUAUGCCGACUAGGGAUCGGAUGAUGUUAAUUUUUUAAUGACUCAUUCGGCGCCUUAC
This 520-nucleotide ribosomal RNA is filed under the name uncultured Glomus. RNAcentral describes it as "SSU rRNA". It matches the Rfam family "Eukaryotic small subunit ribosomal RNA", at positions 569 to 1091 of the family's 1831-position model. Lineage: Eukaryota; Fungi; Glomeromycota; Glomeromycetes; Glomerales; Glomeraceae. The record is from RNAcentral.